This 21-nucleotide unclassified non-coding RNA is filed under the name Chlamydomonas reinhardtii. RNAcentral's name for it is "small RNA Cre_2221". The record is from RNAcentral. Lineage: Eukaryota; Viridiplantae; Chlorophyta; Chlorophyceae; Chlamydomonadales; Chlamydomonadaceae.
UACGCCCGGCUUUGCUGAACG